GGACGGAGUCCCAAUAUUGUAAUUUUCUCGCGCGAAAGAAUAAUCUCCCGUCUCGUCGUCUACUCCGCUCCUUGCUGCCAUCUCGCGGCGGAACAGGGGAGGGGAGGGGCGGCGAUCUCCAUCCGGCGAGCGGCGAGCAGCGAGCAGAGCAGAGCAGGGGAGGAGAUCCUGGGCUUCUCCUUUCUUCAUAAUGUAGGCAAUAUAGAUUUAGGGGGUGCCAAAUUGGAUCGUAGCGUCGUCUCCGUCUCCGUCUCCGUCUUGUCCACAGCUCCAGGCUCCACUCCUUGUGCUGCCACCCUCCCCUUUGCUUUGGACGUCACCUCCUCAUCAAUGCACGCCGAGCGUCGCGUACUUCCUCCAGCUCAUCUCAACGCCGGCGGCCGGUUCCACGCGGUGGCCGCGGCGGCCUCUGCCCCUCCGCUCGUUCCUCUCCUUGGGUGGGGGUCUUUAGAGCGCAGGGAGCCGCUCCGCCAGCCACAGCCCACAGCUCCUGAUCGUUUGCUUGUUUAUAUAUCAGAUUCAUGUUCUUCAUUUCUGUGCUGGUUAGUAUUUCCAAUCACCAACGCUUUCUUCAAGAAUGGAGGAGGAUGAAUCCAGUGAUGAAGUGUUCAUGAAGCAGAUGCUAAGGAAUCUGAUGUUUCAUGAACUUAACCGAGCAAAUUAUAGAAACCAGUUACCAAAUGUUUACAGCAUUUGUACAGUUCAAAUUGAGCAACUGUUGUAGUUGGAGUUUUAUGUCAGUCUGCUUUCACAUUUGAAAAUUUACAGUUACACAACAGGGUAGUCAAUAAACAUGAAAGUAAAAAAAGAAAAUCAAGCUUAUAUUUUUUAUGACAUUUUCUUCCAUCGGUGAUAUCUCUAUUCUAUUUUAUUUGGUAAUAAUAAUUUAUGAACAACUGAAUUCAUCUAGGAGUAAUGGAGUAUGAGGUAAAGUGCAGUAGUGCUGUCAUUGGCAUUCUGGAUGCAGCCACAGUAUAUGCCAUUUAUCUUGUCUUGUUUGUUC
RNAcentral lists this long non-coding RNA (1003 nucleotides) under Oryza sativa Indica Group (long-grained rice). RNAcentral's name for it is "lncRNA OsLima_Ung0006430". The record is from RNAcentral. Lineage: Eukaryota; Viridiplantae; Streptophyta; Magnoliopsida; Poales; Poaceae.